RNAcentral lists this ribosomal RNA (253 nucleotides) under uncultured bacterium. RNAcentral describes it as "partial 16S ribosomal RNA". It matches the Rfam family "Bacterial small subunit ribosomal RNA", at positions 524 to 776 of the family's 1533-position model. The record is from RNAcentral.
GACGAACCGUGCGAACGUUGUUCGGAAUCACUGGGCUUAAAGGGCGCGUAGGCGGCUUGCCAAGUCGGGGGUGAAAUACUUCAGCUUAACUGGAGAAGUGCCUUCGAUACUGGCAGGCUUGAGGGAGGUAGGGGUCUGCGGAACUUCUGGUGGAGCGGUGAAAUGCGUUGAUAUCAGAAGGAACGCCGGUGGCGAAAGCGGCGGACUGGACCUCUUCUGACGCUGAGGCGCGAAAGCUAGGGGAGCAAACAGG